RNAcentral lists this ribosomal RNA (253 nucleotides) under uncultured bacterium. Its description in RNAcentral is "partial 16S ribosomal RNA". It matches the Rfam family "Bacterial small subunit ribosomal RNA", at positions 524 to 776 of the family's 1533-position model. The record is from RNAcentral.
UACGUAGGGGGCUAGCGUUGUCCGGAAUCAUUGGGCGUAAAGGGCAGGUAGGUGGUUUGGUUAGUCUGUUGUGAAAGCUCCUUGCUUAACGGGGAGAGGUCAACAGAUACUGCCAGACUUGAGUAUGGGAGAGGGUACUGGAAUUCCUGGUGUAGCGGUGAAAUGCGCAGAGAUCAGGAGGAACACCGAUGGCGAAAGCAGGUACCUGGACCAUUACUGACACUCAGCUGCGAAAGCUAGGGGAGCAAACAGG